AGUUGUAUUAUUAGUUAAUGCAAGAUCGACUACGUCGACUAAAGUUCUAGGUAGAAUAAUGAUGAUGACAAUUUUUUACCUAUAUGUCUUGACCAAGUCUCGUGCCAGCAGUCGCGGUAAUACGUGGAAGACUAGUGUUAUUCAUCUUUAUUAGGUUUAAAGGGUACCUAGACGGUAUUUCUAGCCCAAAAUAGGGUACGGAUUUACUAGAGUUUUAUGUGAGGAGGGGAGUACUCGUGGAGUAGAGAUGAAAUUUUGUUAUACUAUGAGGUAACUGGUGGCGGCGAAAGCAACCUUCUAUGUAUAAACUGACGUUGAGGGACGAAGGCUUGGGUAGCAAAUAGGAUUAGAUACCCUAGUAGUCCAAGCAGACAAUUCUGAAUGCCAUAGAUUAGAUUUUUUUUGAUCUAUAAAUGAAAGUGUAAGCAUUCCACCUUAGGAGUAAUGUGGCAACACAGGAACUGAAAUCAUUAGACCGUUUCUGAAACCAGUAGUGAAGUAUGUUAUUUAAUUUGAUGGUCCACAAAAAACCUUACCACAACUUGAAUAUUUUUUAAUUAAUACAAGCGUUGCACGGCUGUCUUCAGUUAAUGUCGUGAGAUUUUGGUUAACUCCAUUAAUUAACGUAAACCCUUACUUUAUUUAU
RNAcentral lists this ribosomal RNA (646 nucleotides) under Acarospora strigata. Its description in RNAcentral is "SSU rRNA". It matches the Rfam family "Bacterial small subunit ribosomal RNA", at positions 387 to 1118 of the family's 1533-position model. The record is from RNAcentral. Lineage: Eukaryota; Fungi; Ascomycota; Lecanoromycetes; Acarosporales; Acarosporaceae.